CGGACGGGUGAGUAACACGUGAUAACCUACCUAUAAGACUGGGAUAACUUCGGGAAACCGGAGCUAAUACCGGAUAAUAUAUUGAACCGCAUGGUUCAAUAGUGAAAGACGGUUUUGCUGUCACUUAUAGAUGGAUCCGCGCCGCAUUAGCUAGUUGGUAAGGUAACGGCUUACCAAGGCAACGAUGCGUAGCCGACCUGAGAGGGUGAUCGGCCACACUGGAACUGAGACACGGUCCAG
RNAcentral lists this ribosomal RNA (240 nucleotides) under uncultured Staphylococcus sp. RNAcentral describes it as "partial 16S ribosomal RNA". It matches the Rfam family "Bacterial small subunit ribosomal RNA", at positions 99 to 334 of the family's 1533-position model. The record is from RNAcentral. Lineage: Bacteria; Bacillati; Bacillota; Bacilli; Caryophanales; Staphylococcaceae.